Molecule: ribosomal RNA, 557 nt
Filed under: Curvularia lunata
Lineage: Eukaryota; Fungi; Ascomycota; Dothideomycetes; Pleosporales; Pleosporaceae
Description: eukaryotic LSU rRNA
Rfam family: 5.8S ribosomal RNA (bases 186-339)
Source: RNAcentral
UACCUGCGGAGGGAUCAUUACACAAAUUAAUAAUUAUGAAGGCUUCGGCUGGAUUAUUUUUAUCACCCUUGUCUUUUGCGCACUUGUUGUUUCCUGGGCGGGUUCGCCCGCCACCAGGACCACACCAUAAACCUUUUUUUAUGCAGUUGCAAUCAGCGUCAGUAUAACAAAUGUAAAUCAUUUACAACUUUCAACAACGGAUCUCUUGGUUCUGGCAUCGAUGAAGAACGCAGCGAAAUGCGAUACGUAGUGUGAAUUGCAGAAUUCAGUGAAUCAUCGAAUCUUUGAACGCACAUUGCGCCCUUUGGUAUUCCAAAGGGCAUGCCUGUUCGAGCGUCAUUUGUACCCUCAAGCUUUGCUUGGUGUUGGGCGUCUUUUGUCUUUGGCCUCGCCCAAAGACUCGCCUUAAAACGAUUGGCAGCCGGCCUACUGGUUUCGCAGCGCAGCACAUUUUUGCGCUUGCAAUCAGCAAAAAGGACGGCAAUCCAUCAAGACUACAUUUUUACGUUUGACCUCGGAUCAGGUAGGGAUACCCGCUGAACUUAAGCAUAUCAAAA